RNAcentral lists this long non-coding RNA (822 nucleotides) under Androctonus crassicauda. Lineage: Eukaryota; Metazoa; Arthropoda; Arachnida; Scorpiones; Buthidae. The record is from RNAcentral.
UAUCUACGAUAUACAAGUAUAAUAUAUCGUAGAUAAAACGGAAAACGAUCGUUUAAAAUUUGAAUGUUUUUCAGGUAAUCAACAAAAUAUCUGAACGAACAGACAAGCAAAAUAAUUAUAUACCGAAUAUUAUUGUAAAAUAUAUCUUAAAAAUCCUUUCAAAUGACUGUAAUAUCAGGCAACAUGCAACAAAUAGUCUCAGAAAUAUCGAUGCUUUAUUGUUUUGAACAGUCGCUAUGUUGUAAACGAAACCACUUAGCAUUUAUAAAACGAAUAGACAAUUUAUUUAUCUUAAAUAAUAAGGAAUGUUCCUAUAAAGUUUGGAUUCUCUACAAUGUUCGAUUCUGGAGAUAUCUUGUGAAUGUACGGCAGACAGACAAAGUGAAUGCAUGAAAAUAAUUGUUUGAGAAAAAAAAAAAAAAAAAACGAUUUAAAGAUACAAAAUAUUCAAAUCUGAAUUAAAACUUACUAAUUAUUUGCAUAACACAGGAAGUAUACAGAAUCAUUGAAAUCAAUACAACAUCCACUUUCAAUAAUUAAACUGCAAACGUGCUUUCUUAAAACAACAACCACGACAUCAAACACGAGUCAGUCGAUUAACGAUGUUGGAGAAAUCCAACAGAAAUAAUGUCCCUGAGGUUUUAUCUCCAUUAUGAUAUAUUAGAUAACGUAAGAUGUCUCUCUCGGUUUGAUUGAAACACCGUUAUUUUAUUUUUUUGAAACAUUUUGUCAAUAUUGUUACUUCUCUGAAUAAAUUCCGAAUAUAGGUCGUUUUUACAAUUUAAUCUCUAAAUGUUAAUCAAUAUAAUAUUAAGCAAUAAC